RNAcentral lists this ribosomal RNA (497 nucleotides) under uncultured bacterium. RNAcentral describes it as "partial 16S ribosomal RNA". It matches the Rfam family "Bacterial small subunit ribosomal RNA", at positions 28 to 507 of the family's 1533-position model. The record is from RNAcentral.
GAUGAACGCUGGCGGCGUGCCUAAUACAUGCAAGUCGAGCGAACAGAUAAUGAGCUUGCUCCUUUGACGUUAGCGGCGGACGGGUGAGUAACACGUGGAUAACCUACCUAUAAGACUGGGAUAACUUCGGGAAACCGGUGCUAAUACCGGAUAAUAUAUUGAACCGCAUGGUUCAAUAGUGAAAGGCGGCUUUGCUGUCACUUAUAGAUGGAUCCGCGCCGUAUUAGCUAGUUGGUAAGGUAACGGCUUACCAAGGCAACGAUACGUAGCCGACCUGAGAGGGUGAUCGGCCACACUGGAACUGAGACACGGUCCAGACUCCUACGGGAGGCAGCAGUAGGGAAUCUUCCGCAAUGGGCGAAAGCCUGACGGAGCAACGCCGCGUGAGUGAUGAAGGUCUUCGGAUCGUAAAACUCUGUUAUCAGGGAAGAACAAAUGUGUAAGUAACUGUGCACAUCUUGACGGUACCUGAUCAGAAAGCCACGGCUAACUACGUG